This 497-nucleotide ribosomal RNA is filed under the name uncultured bacterium. RNAcentral describes it as "partial 16S ribosomal RNA". It matches the Rfam family "Bacterial small subunit ribosomal RNA", at positions 28 to 507 of the family's 1533-position model. The record is from RNAcentral.
GACGAACGCUGGCGGCGUGCCUAAUACAUGCAAGUUGAGCGAUGAAGAUUGGUGCUUGCACCAAUUUGAAGAGCAGCGAACGGGUGAGUAACGCGUGGGGAAUCUGCCUUUGAGCGGGGGACAACAUUUGGAAACGAAUGCUAAUACCGCAUAAUAACUUUAAACAUAAGUUUUAAGUUUGAAAGAUGCAAUUGCAUCACUCAAAGAUGAUCCCGCGUUGUAUUAGCUAGUUGGUGAGGUAAAGGCUCACCAAGGCGAUGAUACAUAGCCGACCUGAGAGGGUGAUCGGCCACAUUGGGACUGGGACACGGCCCAAACUCCUACGGGAGGCAGCAGUAGGGAAUCUUCGGCAAUGGACGAAAGUCUGACCGAGCAACGCCGCGUGAGGGAAGAAGGUUUUCGGAUCGUAAAACUCUGUUGGUAGAGAAGAACGUUGGUGAGAGUGGAAAGCUCAUCAAGUGACGGUAACUACCCAGAAAGGGACGGCUAACUACGUG